AACGACUCUCGGCAACGGAUAUCUCGGCUCUCGCAUCGAUGAAGAACGUAGCGAAAUGCGAUACUUGGUGUGAAUUGCAGAAUCCCGUGAACCAUCGAGUCUUUGAACGCAAGUUGCGCCCGAAGCCAUCUGGCCGAGGGCACGUCUGCCUGGGCGUCACGCGUCUCUUCGCACCCCCCCU
This 181-nucleotide ribosomal RNA is filed under the name Lysionotus denticulosus. RNAcentral's name for it is "5.8S ribosomal RNA". The stretch from base 4 to 159 matches the Rfam family "5.8S ribosomal RNA". From Rfam's summary of the family: 5.8S ribosomal RNA (5.8S rRNA) is a component of the large subunit of the eukaryotic ribosome. It is transcribed by RNA polymerase I as part of the 45S precursor that also contains 18S and 28S rRNA. Lineage: Eukaryota; Viridiplantae; Streptophyta; Magnoliopsida; Lamiales; Gesneriaceae. The record is from RNAcentral.